This 1001-nucleotide ribosomal RNA is filed under the name uncultured Oxalobacteraceae bacterium. RNAcentral's name for it is "bacterial SSU rRNA". It matches the Rfam family "Bacterial small subunit ribosomal RNA", at positions 240 to 1239 of the family's 1533-position model. Lineage: Bacteria; Pseudomonadati; Pseudomonadota; Betaproteobacteria; Burkholderiales; Oxalobacteraceae. The record is from RNAcentral.
AUUAGCUAGUUGGUGAGGUAAAGGCUCACCAAGGCGACGAUCAGUAGCUGGUCUGAGAGGACGACCAGCCACACUGGAACUGAGACACGGUCCAGACUCCUACGGGAGGCAGCAGUGGGGAAUUUUGGACAAUGGGCGCAAGCCUGAUCCAGCAAUGCCGCGUGAGUGAGGAAGGCCUUCGGGUUGUAAAGCUCUUUUGUCAGGGAAGAAACGGCUGUGGCUAAUAUCCACGGCUAAUGACGGUACCUGAAGAAUAAGCACCGGCUAACUACGUGCCAGCAGCCGCGGUAAUACGUAGGGUGCAAGCGUUAAUCGGAAUUACUGGGCGUAAAGCGUGCGCAGGCGGUUUUGUAAGUCUGACGUGAAAUCCCCGGGCUCAACCUGGGAAUUGCGUUGGAGACUGCAAGGCUAGAAUCUGGCAGAGGGGGGUAGAAUUCCACGUGUAGCAGUGAAAUGCGUAGAGAUGUGGAGGAACACCGAUGGCGAAGGCAGCCCCCUGGGUCAAGAUUGACGCUCAUGCACGAAAGCGUGGGGAGCAAACAGGAUUAGAUACCCUGGUAGUCCACGCCCUAAACGAUGUCUACUAGUUGUCGGGUUUUAAUUAACUUGGUAACGCAGCUAACGCGUGAAGUAGACCGCCUGGGGAGUACGGUCGCAAGAUUAAAACUCAAAGGAAUUGACGGGGACCCGCACAAGCGGUGGAUGAUGUGGAUUAAUUCGAUGCAACGCGAAAAACCUUACCUACCCUUGACAUGUCAGGAAUCCUUGAGAGAUCGAGGAGUGCCCGAAAGGGAGCCUGAACACAGGUGCUGCAUGGCUGUCGUCAGCUCGUGUCAUGAGAUGUUGGGUUAAGUCCCGCAACGAGCGCAACCCUUGUCAUUAGUUGCUACGAAAGGGCACUCUAAUGAGACUGCCGGUGACAAACCGGAGGAAGGUGGGGAUGACGUCAAGUCCUCAUGGCCCUUAUGGGUAGGGCUUCACACGCCAUACAAUGGUACAUA